GGCCAGAUAGCUCAGGUGGUUGAGCACCUGACCGAAGUUUCAGGGGGGCAGCCCGGGUUCGAAUCCCGGUCUGGUCC
Non-coding RNA from Saccostrea cuccullata (small rock oyster), 77 nucleotides. NCBI's taxonomy places the organism in Eukaryota, Metazoa, Mollusca, Bivalvia, Ostreida, Ostreidae. The record is from the annotation of a RefSeq genome assembly.